Molecule: ribosomal RNA, 1342 nt
Filed under: Campylobacter fetus subsp. venerealis
Lineage: Bacteria; Pseudomonadati; Campylobacterota; Epsilonproteobacteria; Campylobacterales; Campylobacteraceae
Description: partial 23S ribosomal RNA
Rfam family: Bacterial large subunit ribosomal RNA
Source: RNAcentral
AUUGAGAAUCCAUGAUACUAUCGAGCCAAGAAAAGUUUCUAAGUUUAGUAAUAAUUGCCCGUACCGUAAACCGACACAGGUGGGUGGGAUGAGUAUUCUAAGGCGCGUGGAAGAACUCUCUUUAAGGAACUCUGCAAAAUAGCACCGUAUCUUCGGUAUAAGGUGUGCCUAACUUUGUAUUAAGAUUCACUCCCAAAGCAAAGAAGGUUACAACAAAGAGUCCCUCCCGACUGUUUACCAUAAACACAGCACUCUGCUAACACGUAAGUGGAUGUAUAGGGUGUGACGCCUGCCCGGUGCUCGAAGGUUAAUUGAUGAUGUUAGCUAUGCGAAGCAUUUGAUCGAAGCCCGAGUAAACGGCGGCCGUAACUAUAACGGUCCUAAGGUAGCGAAAUUCCUUGUCGGUUAAAUACCGACCUGCAUGAAUGGCGUAACGAGAUGGGAGCUGUCUCAAAGAGGGAUCCAGUGAAAUUGUAGUGGAGGUGAAAAUUCCUCCUACCCGCGGCAAGACGGAAAGACCCCGUGGACCUUUACUACAGCUUGACACUGCUAUUUGGAUAAAGAUGCGCAGGAUAGGUGGGAGGCUUUGAUCCAUAGACCCUGGUUUAUGGUGAGCCAUUGUUGAGAUACCACUCUUCUUUAUUCGAGUAGCUAACUAGCCUAAGUUAUCCUUAGGUAGGACAAUGUCUGGUGGGUAGUUUGACUGGGGCGGUCGCCUCCCAAAAUGUAACGGAGGCUUACAAAGGUUGGCUCAGAACGGUUGGAAAUCGUUCGUAGAGUAUAAAGGCAUAAGCCAGCUUAACUGCAAGACAUACACGUCAAGCAGAGACGAAAGUCGGUCUUAGUGAUCCGGUGGUUCUGUGUGGAAGGGCCAUCGCUCAAAGGAUAAAAGGUACCCCGGGGAUAACAGGCUGAUCUCCCCCAAGAGCUCACAUCGACGGGGAGGUUUGGCACCUCGAUGUCGGCUCAUCGCAUCCUGGGGCUGGAGCAGGUCCCAAGGGUAUGGCUGUUCGCCAUUUAAAGCGGUACGCGAGCUGGGUUCAGAACGUCGUGAGACAGUUCGGUCCCUAUCUGCCGUGGGCGUAAGAAGAUUGAGGAGAGUUGACCCUAGUACGAGAGGACCGGGUCGAACUAGCCACUGGUGUACCAGUUGUUCUGCCAAGAGCAUCGCUGGGUAGCUAAGCUAGGAUGAGAUAAGAGCUGAAAGCAUCUAAGCUCGAAGCCAACUCCAAGAUGAAUCUUCUUUUAAGAGCUCUAGUAGACUACUAGUUUGAUAGGCUGGGUGUGUAAUGGAUGAAAGUCCUUUAGCUGACCAGUACUAAUAGCUCGUUUGCUUAUCUUU